Molecule: long non-coding RNA, 2875 nt
Organism: Homo sapiens (human)
Lineage: Eukaryota; Metazoa; Chordata; Mammalia; Primates; Hominidae
Exons: 3
Source: RefSeq, a predicted model, not a curated record
CCGACCUUGCUGGCCGGUCUCCCUGGAGCUGAAGUGCCUGAGGCCUGCUCUGGCCCAGAGCGCACGUGAGUGAGGCCUCUGCUGUGGGCUCUGGGCCGGAGGCGUCCUCUCUCUGUCAGUCCUCGGGAGGUGGAUCCUGGCUUUGAGCGAGGCUGUAUCUUUGGGAGUAUUUUUAUACAAUAUCUAAAAUCACGACAUGUUUGGAGUAUGUCCAGGUAGCUCGGCUGAAUGUUACACGAGAAAGGGAGAAUCCCGUGUUACCACCCUCCCUGGGGCAUCAUCAUUACGGACGUUACCUUCAGGGAAUCUGAGUGAAGGGCACAUGGAAUCCCUCUUCACUCUGUGGGCAUCCUCCUGUGAGCUGCACAUCCUCCUGUGAGUUGCGCAUCCUCCGAUGGAGUUUUGCUCUUGUCGCACAGGCUGGAGUGCAAUGGCACGAUCUCGGCUCACCGCAACCUCCGCCUCCUGGGUUCAAGCGAUUCUCCUGCCUCAGCCUCCCAAGUAGCUGGGAUUACAGGCAUGCGCCACCUCCAGCUAAUUUUGUAUUUUUAGUAGAGACCGGGCUUCUCCAUGUUGGUCAGGCUGGUCUCAAACUCCCGACCUCAGGUGAUCCGCCCACCUCGGGCUCCCAAAGUGCUGGGAUUACAGGCAUGAGCCACUGCGUCACACUGUCGGUCUUUUUCUUAUCUCACUUGAGGAGCUCUAAGCAGUGUGGGGGAAUUAUCCCUUUGUUUAUCGUGCAACACUUCAUCCGGCAGGAUUUUAUUUCCAAUUUUACCUUGUGUAUGUUUUUUUCUAAAUAUUCUUUUUUUCUUUCAUGACGAGAUCCACUAAAUAUAUAAGUUGUUUCUUUAGAGGAAAAUUAUUAUGUCUUGAAAGAGUCAGAUUAUGUUGUUGAUGAGGUGAACAUUCAUCCAAUAAGUGAUAGUGAUGUAAUUUAAAGACAUAAAAUGACUUAAUUGUUAAAUUCAUCAAGUUAGAAUUUUUGGAUAAAAAUUUAUAUGAGUUUAUUUUCAGUGUCCUCUCCAGGUUGAAAUUUGAGUUCUUUCACUUGCUAUUCAUGUGAUUUUUGAACAGGUUAUGUAACCUCGUUAAGCCAAGAUCUCAUUCUUCAAAUGGGCACUAUCAUAAUGUAGUCAUCCUAACACUGUUGAGAUGAAGAUAAGCAAUCAGAUGGUCCUCAGUGGGUACCCAAUGACUAAAAAUGCCUUUUCCUUUUUAUGAAAUAAGCUGGUAAAUUCUGUUUGGAUACCAACACAAAUCUUCCAAAGAUCUUGUCACACCACCCUUAGAUUGACUUACAUUUUGUGCUACUAACAGCAUAGCAAGCCUCACAAUCAAAUGACCUGCACCUUGCAAAAUAGCAUUAUAUAGAAGGCUCAAGUGUAGUAUCUAGUUCUCCCUUCAAUCAAAAAAAUACUGCCACAGGCCUGAGCACAUGAAGGCCGUGUGUCCUUUCCUCCACAGCUUGGAGGCACAGGACCUGAAGGGGCUGGGCCAGUGUAUGGGGCAGAUGCACCCUCGCACUUUUGGUGGUGAGAUGGAAGCUGGCAACGUCUCUCACCCUGCAUUCCAGCAUCAACGCCCUGUCCAGCCCUGGCAUUUGCUUGGAAUAACUCAUCAUUGCUUCACAAACCUGCCUUCUGCAUGGGAGUAACAGAGUGACAUUUGAUAGCCCAACAAGUUGUCCUCACGAGUGCCAUGAAUGGAGCCCUGCCUAGACAGGAGACAAGGGGCCCAAACCUUGGGGAUGGCUCAGAUGCUGCUAGUUAUAGGGGCUGCAGAGCAACAGGCUUUCAGGGGAGUUAGCUUAAUACUUGGCAAAUUGCGCUGCGCUUGCUGCAAGGAAACCAGGUGGCAUUUCUCGAGAGUCCCAGGGGCUUCCAGUCUCCUCUUCCUACCUGGGAGCACUAAGCAGAGGAACCAGAGGGGACUGGGGGUGCAAGAUGUGCAAGGAGCUGAAUCACAUUCAUCCCAUGCAUUCGCUAAACAGACUAACUCAUACUAAAAACAUGAAAGCAAAUCUCACAAAGAAUGCUGUUUCUUUUCUAUCAUUACAAAAAAAUCAAGGCACAAAGUAUUCACCCGAUGGUCAGCUCAUGCUAAGUACUGGUCUUCUCUUUACUUUGAAUAUGGGAAGAAAUUCCUGCAUCCUCCAUGGCUGCCGCUUUCCAUGGCUGUUGGUUGGUGCAGGAGACAGACACAGCUUUAGUGUUGCCAUAGGAGCUGGCCACCUGGAGAAUAUUAGGCUUAAUUAGCACUUUGACAUUUCCCAGGAAUUUAAAUACACUUGACUCUCACUCCAUGUGUAUUUUUCUGACCCUGGGGAGGCUGGAUGCCAGGGUUCUCUAGCAGACGCUGGUGGCUCCGGGUGGCAUGAGCUGGAGCCGCCUUCAGCACCCUGCCAGGCGCCCAGCCUGGAUGAAUGCAUCUUUUUGAGCCACUUUUUGGCUUUCAGAGAUUCUGAGGACACCACCUCUCCCUGUUCUCCUGAGUUUUCAAGGAGAGGGUUUUUACUUGGAGCCAGGACAAGAACACUGCCGCGUCUCAGCCGUGCCAAAUGAGAACCACAUGCAGGAGGCGUCCUGGAGAGCAGCAGACUCGCGGCCUCCUGGCUCCUGGCCUGGCAGCUCCUAGGAUGGAGACAGCAGUGCUGGCUGAUCGUCCAGCGCAGCAUGGGGAGCGGGGCAGGAGAAGGGGCAGGAGAGCUUGCUACUCCUUUUCGUGGCUGUUUUUGAAAAUUUUGUGACACUUUUUUUUAAUUCCUAUAAAAUGAGAAAUGAAAAUUCCAUUCAUUUUCAGUGUUUAAAUGGGAACUGUAAUUCUACCCUCUGAUGAUGUAAAAACAAAUAAUUCAUUAAAAUGGGACUGGAAA